This 3765-nucleotide ribosomal RNA is filed under the name Triticum aestivum (bread wheat). RNAcentral describes it as "partial small subunit ribosomal RNA". Lineage: Eukaryota; Viridiplantae; Streptophyta; Magnoliopsida; Poales; Poaceae. The record is from RNAcentral.
AUGAAAAACCGAUACGCGCCGGUGGACUCGUGGGUCUUCUUCUCUGCAGCCUUAAACCCCCACGCGCCCGCCGCCUCCUCCCCUCUCCCCUCCCUCUCUAGGGUUUUACCCUUCCCGCCGAAAGCCGAACGCCGCCGCCACUCGUCGGAGCCCUACUCCUUCGUGCCAUACCCCAGCGCACGGUAUCUCUCCUCGGGCAUGCCGACGGCGGCCGGGAAAUCGUCCGCCGCCGCGGCGGCGGCGGCGGCGGGUAAGGAGGAGGACUACGCGACGCUGCGGGAGCUGUACCGGCCGCACAUCGAGUCGUUCGACUACUUCCUCGACGAGGGGCUCGACAAGAUGCUCCUCUCCAUCCGCCCCAUGGAGAUCACCCACCCCUCCUCCAACGCUACCCUCAGAAUGUCCUUAGAGAAGGGUCAUGUGCUCCCACCGAUGAAGGAUGGUCGGUUGGAACAACCGCUCUACCCGCAAGAGUGCAGGCAAGGUAGAAUUUCAUAUAGUGGCGAAUUCAAAGUGGAGGCUGUCUUCCAAUUUAAUGAUGGGGCGCCAAUCAGACAAACCUUCAAUUUUGGUCAUUUGCCGAUUAUGUUGAUGUCAAAACUUUGCCACCUAAGAGGUGCUGAUCCACGUAAAUUGAUCUACCACGGUGAAGAGGCCACAGAAAUGGGCGGGUACUUUAUAAGUGGUGGCUUGGAGAGACUUAUCCGAAUUCUUAUUUUACAGAAGCGUAAUUAUCCUAUGGGCAUGGUCCGUGGUGCUUUUAUUAAACGUGGUGCGGGAUACACUGACAAAGCAGUGGUGAUGAGAUGUGUUCACCACGACCAGUCCAGCGUGACUGUAAAGUUGUAUUACCUACAAAAUGGAAGUGCAAGGCUAGGGUUUUGGUUUGCAGGCAGAGAAAUUCUCCUUCCAGUUGGGAUUGUUCUCAAGGCCCUUAUUGAUACAAGUGACCGGGAAAUAUUUGCAAGCCUGACAUGCUGCUACAGUGAUAAACGUGAAAGAGGAAAGGGAGUUGUCAGCACUCAGCUAAUUGGUGAAAGGACACAAAUAAUUCUUGACGAAGUCAGAGCUCUGUCCCUUUUCACGCGCACGCAAUGCUUAGUGCAUAUUGGCAAGUACUUUCGAUCUGCAAUGGAAGGUUUUGAAAAAGAUGAUUAUGAAACCGUUGCUGAGGCGGUUAUCAAGGACUAUAUUCUCGUGCAUCUGCAAAAUGACAACCACGCAAAGUUUAAUCUUUUAAUAUUUAUGCUGCAGAAACUUUAUGCUCUUGUUGAUCAAACUACGUCACCUGAUAAUCCUGACGCACUUCAAUUUCAAGAAGCACUCUUGCCUGGGCACCUGAUCACAGUUUUUCUUAAGGAUAGGAUUCAAGAUUGGUUGCAAAAGUCUAAGCGUUUAAUUAUGGAAGAGAUUACGAAGAAUAAAAGCUUUGAACUCAAUAACUCACUGGAGAUUAGGAAAUUUCUUAGUAAAUAUACAACAUCUGUAGGCAGAGCUAUUGAGACCUUGAUAAAGGUUGGCAGAGCGAAUUCACAAUCAAUGUUGGAUCUUCCACAGAGAGAAGGGAUGACCAUUCAAGCUGAGCGACUCAACUUUCAUCGCUAUAUCUCACAUUUUCGUUCUGUUCAUAGGGGUUCUUCUUUUGCUAAAAUGCGUACAACAACUGUUAGAAAGUUACUUCCAGAGUCCUGGGGUUUCCUGUGUCCAGUUCAUACACCGGAUGGAGAGCCUUGUGGCUUACUGAACCAUAUGACUUCCAUAUGCCGUAUUUCAUCCUGCUACAACUCAGAAGGGGCAAUUAAAGAUUUUCAGAAAAUAAAGGAUAAGCUUUUAGUUGAAUUGGUUCGUGGUGGAAUGAUCCCAUUGUUGCCGAAGAUGGAGCAUACUGGUCCCCCGGAGAUCCUGCAUGUCCAUUUGGAUGGAUGCAUUGUCGGUUCUAUUGCUUCUGCUAAGAUUGAGGAAGUAGUUAACUAUCUUCGAAGAUUAAAGCUACUGGCACACCCAGCGACUCCGGAGGAUUUAGAAGUGGGCUAUGUUCCCUUAAGUCUUGGUGGGGCUUAUCCUGGGCUCUAUCUUUUUACAAGUCCUGCAAGAUUUGUUCGACCAGUGAAAAAUCUGGUUAGCCUACCUGAUGGAGAGCCACGUAUUGAGCUUAUUGGACCAUUUGAACAGGCAUUUAUGGAGAUACGAUGUCCUGAUGGUGGGGACGGUGGGAGAAAAAAAGAGUUUCCUGCGACUCAUGAAGAAAUUCACCCUACUGCCAUUCUCAGUGUAGUUGCAAAUCUGACUCCUUGGUCUGAUCACAACCAAAGUCCUCGGAACAUGUACCAAUGCCAGAUGGCAAAGCAAACUAUGGGUUUUUGUGGCCAAGCUUUAAAAUAUCGUACAGAUGUCAAGGCAUUCCAUCUACAGACUCCUCAGUCGCCAAUUGUUCGAACAGCUACAUAUAAAAGAUAUCAUAUGGAUGAAUUUCCAUCAGGAACAAAUGCCAUUGUUGCGGUGCUAUCAUAUACAGGUUAUGACAUGGAGGAUGCCAUGAUUUUAAAUAAAUCAGCCGUUGACCGUGGGAUGUUCCGUGGAGAUAUCUUCCAGACAGAGUGCAUUGACUUGUCAGCAAAAAGGACAGAAAAUGUCCCAGAAAUCUUUGCCAAAAGCCCUCUUUCGAGGGACUCGAACAAUGUAAUUGAUUCAGAUGGCCUUCCUCGGGUUGGAGAGACAGUAGUUCCAUAUGAGCAGUACUACAGUAUCUAUAAUACACUCACCGGUGCAAUAAGGCCAGUCAGACUAAAGGGGACAGAGCCAGCAGCUAUUGACUAUGUUGCUCUCAACGGAACAAAUUCAAAAGGUUCCCUGCAGAAGGUAAAUAUUCGUCUGCGUCGCAAGAGGAAUCCUAUAAUUGGUGACAAGUUCAGCAGUAGACAUGGGCAAAAGGGAGUUUGUUCACAGUUGUGGCCUGACAUUGAUAUGCCGUUCUCUGCAAAUACCGGCAUGAGGCCAGAUCUCAUCAUUAAUCCUCAUGCUUUUCCUUCAAGAAUGACAAUUGCAAUGCUUAUAGAGUCCAUAGCAGCAAAGGCUGGAAGUGCACAUGGGAAGUUCAUUGAUGCCACACCUUUUGCAAGCUCAGUCAAAGAGGACGGUGAAAAUCGUUGUAAAUUUGAUUCUAUUGUGGAUGAACUAGGUCCCAUGCUAGCAUCUUAUGGAUUUAAUCAUCAUGGAACCGAGGUCCUGUACAGUGGGCUUUUUGGCACCGAGCUUCAAUUUGAGAUUUUCAUUGGGCCUGUUUACUACCAACGCCUUCGUCAUAUGGUCUCAGACAAAUUUCAGGUUCGCACCACAGGUCGUAUAGACCAAGUAACGAAACAGCCAAUAGGAGGAAGGAAACAUGGUGGAGGGAUUCGGUUCGGUGAGAUGGAGCGUGACGCGCUCCUUGCUCACGGCGCUUCAUAUCUCUUGCACGACAGGCUCCAUACCUGCUCGGACUAUCACGUAGCGGACGUGUGCUCCCUUUGCGGGAGCCUCCUGUCGGCGACGGUAAUAAACUCGGACACACAGAAGAAAUCCAAGCGCCACAUGCUGGGUGUCAACACGGUGAGGCCCGCGAAGAACUUUGCGUGCCAGGCCUGCCAGACAAACAAAGGGAUGGAGACGGUGGCGAUGCCGUACGUCUUCAGGUAUCUAGCGGCCGAGCUGGCGGCUAUGAACAUAAAGCUGGAUCUCCGGCUCAGCAACAGGAGAGAAGCUCCUCCCAGCAACGAAUCUUGCUAG